Non-coding RNA from Sus scrofa (pig), 3240 nucleotides. The record is from RefSeq and is a predicted model, not a curated record. Lineage: Eukaryota; Metazoa; Chordata; Mammalia; Artiodactyla; Suidae.
CGCUCAUUGGCUGGGGCUGAGUGUGGUGCUACUUCUUCUUUGGAAUUUUCUCCUUUUUGAUCAAUUCGGAAAAUUCUAGAGCAGGAGACAGAUUUCUACGUCUGGAACGCCUUCCGGAUGACGCUCUCCAGCUGCCCCGAGGCCCGGAACUUCUGCAUGUACUACAAGAACUUGACGCAGCGGAGGGAAACUGGGGGGGACUGGCCGUGUCACCCAGGCCUCCGUGCUCGGGCCGGGCGGCCUGGCCGGCGGGGCCUGGGCCCAGAGGGAGACUCCUGUCACAGGGCGGGGGCUGCCGGGCCCUGUGCCCUCCCCCAGCCCGGGGGCUCGUGUGUGCACAGGUCUCGUCCACAGUGGGCGGCCCGGCGGUACCAUGGUGCCUCGCAUCGGCGGGCAGAGGUCUGUGUCCUCGUCCGACAGGGACGCGCCCGUGGCCAACACCAUCUCCUUCAUCUGGGAGGAGAAAUUGUCGUCCAUCCUGGCCCUGUGGGCACGGGGAGCCAUCGGCAGGAUGCUGGGCGGGAGAUGGCACCCUGCCUGGACGCUGCGCAGCGCCAGAUCCCAAGAGGCGUCUGAGCCCCGUCUCUUGGUGGCCUGCCCCCUUGAGGGGUUACCCACUUCCCAGCAGAGACAGGCCCUGAAAGAGUAAAUUUCUGCUGGGCAGGUGAGGUCGGGGCGCAGGCCGAGGGGCCAGGGCGGGGCCGGGCUGUCCUGUGCCCCAGGGCAGCCCCUUGUGACCCCAGAGCUCUCGGGUUGCCGUCCCCAGGGCAGGUUGGGUUCUGGGGCUGGUGGCAGAGCAGCUAUUUCAGAGGCUCCUUGGCCCUCUCCGAAGUUCACGUGGUGGCAGAGCCUUCUGGAACCUGCUCCCGUCGCCAGGAGAGGCAGCCCAUUGGCCUACAGGGCGCCAGCCGGCCUGGCAGCGGCUGGAGGAAGCCUCUGCUUUCCUCCCAGGAGAGACGCCUCGGAUCAAAGGAGGUCCCACCCUGCCUGCUGACUUCACGGGGCUGAGAUGGGGUGGCCAUCCCCCAACCCGAGACGGCCCGUGUGUCCGAGGCAGCAACAGAAGACUCUGGAUGAUUGGGCCUCCUUGGGUGCCCCACGGCCCCCAGCGGGCAGCACGGACAUCGGCCCCCAGGGCUGUCCACCCAGCGGAUGCGAUCCGCGUGAAAGGAAGGAGGCGCCGGGUCGCUACAGCGCAGAUGAGCCCUGACAGCCCCGCGCGGCGUGAAAAGAGCCGGUCACAGCCGACCGCAGGGUCUGUGAUGCCAUUUGCAGAAAAUGUCCAGCCGAGUCCAGUCCGUGGAGACAGAAAGCAGAUGGGUGGGGGCUGGGGGCAAUGGGGGGUUCCCAGUGAGCGCGGGGUUUGCCUUUAGAGCGUUCUGGAACCAGAUAAAGGUGAUGGUUGCGCUCCAUGGUGAAUGCACCAAGCGCUGCUGAAUUGUUCACGGAAAAUGGUUUCUCUUACGUUAUCUGAGCACCCCCUCCGCCCGGCCUCCGGUGGGGUGCUGCCGCCGUCUUCCGGAAGGCUCUGUCCGUGCCCACCCUGCCCAGGACGUGAGACGACGAUGAGGAGCGGGUGGGCGGGUCCCUGGGCUGGCACCUGCCCGGAGCUGACAGAUGGCCAGUCCCCCGGGCAGCCCCUCCCGCUUCGUUUCUGUCCGGCUGCCCCUCCUCUCCUGAAGCCCUGACCCGGCUUACCCGCCCCGCUCUGGGCUGAGCAGGCCUCACGGAGCCAGGGGGAUCAGCUCACAGCCCUGUGCCCAGGCCCGGCAGGCGCUGCCCCUUGGGUCUCCCGGGCCCUGGUGGGACAGGCACUGCCUCCCCUCCCCCACCCGCCUGGAACAGCUUCGGCAGGGGGCACGGGGGCUGCUCCCAGCCCCUCCUGCUGGAAGCCAGCCCUGCCCCAUGCGCGUCCUGAACACAGAAGAGGAGCCGGCCUCCUUUGCCAGGGAGCCGUUUUACGAGGACCAAGCUCCUCAAGCCGCAGCCUCCUCAGACGCUGGUGUGUCCCCCUGACCGGACCAGGCGGCAUCUCCAGGGGGCCAGGUACCAGCGCAGCCGCACUUGCCUCCCCAGGUCCCUGGGCAAAGGCCGGGACCCCUCGCACCCACCCCCGCCUCGCAGAGCACAGCCACGCGGGCGGCCUGCAGGAGAGAGGUUCCCCUGGGGUGGGGGGCUGUCUCUGGGCAAGUGCGGGUGGGGCCGGCCUUUCGCCUUGGCGACGGCCCCCUCCCACGCCCCCCGUCGGGGGGGUAAAGCAAUCACAAGGGGCGCCUGUUCCCCUUCCCCCCAGGCCGGGACCAUCCCCUCUGCAGCAGGAAGAGGUGGGCGGGGGAAGCCACUGGGGGUGAGGUCCCAGCAGGCGGGGUGUCCCUGGGGCCAGGGCUCUGGGGUCCCCAACACUGGGUCUGUGGGCCGAAUCCAGGGCGGCCUUUCGGGCAGACCUGCUGACGCGGGUUCUUCUCAGAGGAGGGACUCUAGGAGCUGGCCGUCGCCCUGGCCCUGCCCCUGUGUCCUUUAACCACAAAAGGUCCUGGUCCCGGUACCUUGAUGGGAAGAGCAUCGUCACCGACGUGACCCUGAAGACCAGGCCCCCCCAGCUCGGGACAGGCCCUAACCAGUGACUGGCUCCUGAUAAGAGGGACAGAGACAAGAGAAAGGCCACAGGAGGCGGAGGGACAGAGGCAGAGGCCGGGUGAUGCCGCCAGGGGCCAAGGAGCACCUGGGCCUCCAGGAGCCAGAGGGGGUAGGAAGGGGCUCCUCUGACCUUUGGAGGCGCCUGGCCCCGUGGCCUUCAGCUGGGACGGCCGGCUCCAGACUGGGGAGAACCUGUUUCUGCUUGAAGCCCCGUUUUUGCGGUCAUUUGUCAUGGCCGCCCCAGGACACUCUCACGUCCGCGGCUUCCCGCCUCACUCCCUGGGGGCCUGGAAGUUCCUGGAGGGGCUCCCAGGGGCUGCGCCCUCCAGGUGGGCCAGGGGCCCCCUGGGCUGGGGAUUUAAGGGGUGAGCAGCCCUGAGCUCCCACGGCCUCAGGCUCGGGGGGCUCAGCACUGUUUCUGCUCCUGCCUUGAUUCAAAAUCGUCUGUUGCUGACCACGCAUUUUGCUCGUUAGUUUUGAUGCUUUAGGACAUGGCAUUAAAAUAGUUACUUUGAUCACCAAAGUUAUUAUUCAACAGGGUUGGUUUUUUUUUUUUGUUUUUGUUUUUCCUGUUGUUUUCUUUUUUAGGGCCACACCCGCGGC